UCCCGGAACACCGCUCCUGGAGCGAUUGUUUCAAUGUUGCUUGCUCGGAAUGGCCCUCCUGAGCAAACAACAGACGGUGCUCAAAGUAACAACUGGACUUAAUAAAAGGAGCUUACACGAAGGAGGAGCUGAAGGCUGCUGUGGUCGUGUGCUGGGGGCUGCCCCAGCUCCAGCUGCAGGACCCCGGCCGUCUGCCUUCCGACUCCGGUGAUGAUUCUUCCUGCGGUCUGAUCAAGAUUCUAUGCAGUUAACUUUGUAUCCAAGGAUCUAUAGCCAAGAAAUUUGGAGCUCAGUUUCAAACGCGGAACCCACACUAGGAAAUGAAAUGUCCCAAGAAAAUGCAGGUGGUCUCCAGGAGAUGAGGAUGGCAUUUGACUAAAAGCCA
This 385-nucleotide long non-coding RNA is filed under the name Homo sapiens (human). RNAcentral's name for it is "HSALNT0069866". The record is from RNAcentral. Lineage: Eukaryota; Metazoa; Chordata; Mammalia; Primates; Hominidae.